AGUGAACGCUGGCGGUAGGCCUAACACAUGCAAGUCGAACGGCAGCACAGUAAGAGCUUGCUCUUACGGGUGGCGAGUGGCGGACGGGUGAGGAAUACAUCGGAAUCUACUUUUUCGUGGGGGAUAACGUAGGGAAACUUACGCUAAUACCGCAUACGACCUACGGGUGAAAGCAGGGGAUCUUCGGACCUUGCGCGAUUGAAUGAGCCGAUGUCGGAUUAGCUAGUUGGCGGGGUAAAGGCCCACCAAGGCGACGAUCCGUAGCUGGUCUGAGAGGAUGACCGGCCCCACUGGACCUGAGACCCGGUCCGGACUCCUACGGGGGGCAGCAUUGGGAAUUAUUGGACAAUGGGCGCAAGCCUGAUCCAGCCAUACCGCGUGGGUGAAGAAGGCCUUCGGGUUGUAAAGCCCUUUUGUUGGGAAAGAAAAGCAGCAGGUUAAUACCCCGCUGUUCUGACGGUACCCAAAGAAUAAGCACCGGCUACCUUCGU
Molecule: ribosomal RNA, 491 nt
Filed under: uncultured bacterium
Lineage: Bacteria
Description: partial 16S ribosomal RNA
Rfam family: Bacterial small subunit ribosomal RNA
Source: RNAcentral